RNAcentral lists this long non-coding RNA (1148 nucleotides) under Gallus gallus (chicken). RNAcentral describes it as "lncRNA (ENSGALG00010018442.1)". The record is from RNAcentral. Lineage: Eukaryota; Metazoa; Chordata; Aves; Galliformes; Phasianidae.
CCUGCUCUCAGCAUUGCCUACUGGGAUCAGUAGUGUGGGGCAGUCCUUUCUUCAUGUCCAGAUGAUCACAGGAAGUUCCAAGCCCCUGUUACUGGUGCCGCAAAAAAACAUGUGCAAAAUUCUCUGGACUCUGUUCUCUCCAUGGACUUUGAUCCAAUUUCUGGCCUGGUUCAGCCAUCAGUGUGUAUCUGUAGCAUCUGAGAAGCGCUUCUGUUCAGAGCAAAGUUUGAUCUCCAUUGGCUGGAACAGUCCAAGUUGCAGAUGAAGAAGAAGAGCACCAAGUUCAUGUCCCUUGGAUCCUGGAGGAAUGCUCAGCAGAUGAGCAGUGGAUGGUGUGGAAGCACCAUCUCAGGGCUCCUGGCAAGAAGGUGAGGAAGGAGCGGGCGACUUUUUCCCCAUGUUCCCAGAGAAGUGAAGGGAAGGGCUCACCCUGAGGAUGCUGGCAUAGGCAGUCCCCUCGGCAUGAGCUCUUACCCCACCACAUGGAUUCACUCAACCGAGAGGGAUGAAUUCUUUUUUAGAUGCCAAAAUUUAAAAGAAAGCGUAACUGAAAUGAAUGGACUUUUUUUACACAAGGAACCUUAAGAAUUAAAGAAAAAGAACCUCUUAUUGUUAGAGGGAGGUUUGCAUAUCUUCAAUACAUGAGAAAACUCAUUCCUUGAAGAUGGACCCCAAUGUAAUGCAACCCAAUGUUGGCUUUUGCUAGUGCUGAAAGGUGCAUUAAGGAAGAUGCACAGGCCUGAGAUGAUCUGUCUGAAGCCUGGGACUUAAUUUAAUAAGUUGAAGUUGAGUUAGCACCGUUGAGCCUCUGGGGCCGCAUCUUGCAUCAGAAAGAACACAGCUCGUUAUCAUUCCUGAACUAUGCUCCUCUCAGUCGCUGCGCUGGGUAAUGUGAGGUGACACGUGGAGGAAAACAGGAUCUCUUCCAGCAUAUGUGAAAAGUGCUUCUGAGGCAGCUGAAAAAGCCCUGACAAGCCAAAUGCAGAAGGGGCAGAGGACCAGAAGAUGCCCUGAAGUUUGGGAAUAGUAGAAGUACAAUUGAAAAGGUCAGCAGCUCAGUCCCCUUUAAAUUCCCCUUGGAUAUAUCAAAGUACCAUGCCCUGAUUUAAAAUCUUUUAAGUGCUUGUGCCUAGAGCACAGUUUGUUCA